GAUGAACGCUGGCGGCGUGCUUAACACAUGCAAGUCGAACGGUGAAGCUCCAGCUUGCUGGAGUGGAUCAGUGGCGAACGGGUGAGUAACACGUGAGCAACCUGCCCCUGACUCUGGGAUAACAGCCGGAAACGGCUGCGAAUACCGGAUAUGCACUAUGAACGCGUGUUCUGUGGUGGGAAAGAUUUUUCGGUUGGGGAUAGGUGCGCGGCCUAUCAGCUUGUUGGUGAGGUAAUGGCUUACCAAGGCGUCGACGGGUAGACGGCCUGCGAGGGUGACCGGCCACACGGGUACUGAGACACGGCCCAGACUCCUACGGGAGGCAGCAGUCGGGAAUAUUGCACAAUGGGCGAAAGCCUGAUGCAGCAACGCCGCGUGAGGAAUGACGGCUUUCGGGUGGUAAACCUCUUUUAGCAGGGAAGAAGCGAGAUUGACGGUACCUGCAGAAAAAGCGCCGGCUAACUACGUG
This 469-nucleotide ribosomal RNA is filed under the name uncultured bacterium. RNAcentral's name for it is "partial 16S ribosomal RNA". It matches the Rfam family "Bacterial small subunit ribosomal RNA", at positions 28 to 507 of the family's 1533-position model. The record is from RNAcentral.